UCCGGGACCGUCAAAUUAUGGGUCUGGAUCUGUUUACCCAAAAUAUUGACUGAAGUCAAAUUUAUUCAUUUUAAUACCAAAUUUUAGUAUGUUUUUAUAGAAUUUCACAUUUAAGCUUUUCGGUUACGCACCCGGACUGCACACGCAAAUCGAGGCGAAUAAAAAUGAGGUUUUCAAGGCCUCGGAAGCACGGAAUGAAUAAGAAAACAGGUGAUGACCUUUUGGGUUGUCACAGUUUUUCGGCGUGAACAAUUGGUAGAAAUAUGCUAUAAAAGCUGCUCUCAGUAAAAUUAUUUUAUUGUUUCAGCUUAAGAGUUAUUUGCAAUUUGAAAUAAUUUUGAACUAGUCUUUAGGAAUGAACUAGUCUUUAGGAGUUUGUUAUUUUCAGCAGAUUUUGUGCUGAUUUUUAGGUCUUUUAAGUUAGUAUUUCUCUUAUAAAUUGUAGUCCAGAUGCAGUGAAAUAACUUAGAAUUUUCAACUUCAGUUUUUUAGAAUUCCCUUUACAUCUAUUCAAGUAUAUUCCUUUUAUAUCUUCCCUUAUUAUUUCCCUUAGUUUCUUUUAUCAAGAACCAACAACAGUGCACUUUUAAAUUCCGGAGUAGAAUAUGUCCUAGUCCCAUAUGUAGGAAUAGAAUAUGUAUUAUAUAUAGGGCCCAUUGUAUCAUUGUUAAUAACUAGAUUUUUCUUCCGUGUAUUUUCACAUACUUUAAAUGUUCCAAAGCACUUAGAAUUUCCGAACUGUUGAACCCAUCCUAUUUAAUUAAAAAAAAUCAGUCGUUUGCCCUUGAAUAUACUCACUUUUCUAACAAAGUAAAUUUCUUCGGCUUGCAUGGAGACACGAAGAUCGCUGGAGGAAGGUGAAGAACAUUGCUCGUUUUGUUCGAUAGCUUCCCAGCCACUUCAGAAAAAACUGCUCUCACUGGUCUACAAAAUACAUGUUCAGUGCAUUCAAUUUGGAUUCAUCAGAUGGAGAGGCUUGAUUUAUUGUGUGACAUUAUAAAUGUAAUAUAGAAUAGUGCAUAUUAAGUGUCUCAUAGCAGGUGAUAUAACCAUAUAAAUUGAAAAAAGUGGAUCUAAAAGGAUUCAAGCGUAAGACGAUUCGAAAAGAAAAGUCUGGCCAACUCGAGAAGAUUGUAUGAAAAGAAUAGAGUGGCGUUGUAUUCAAAGGGGGAGCCAGGAUUUGAAACUAUUGGGUUUGGGAUUUUAACCUUUUUGUGUUACUGGGUUCUAAAGUUAGAAUUUGUACGUAUUCAAUAAAUUUCUUAAGGCAAAUAUAUGAGUUUGGACUAAAGCUAUUGGGUUAGGCCGAAUCCAUUGUCGAAGCUCUAGCUCCGCCCCUGGUUGUAUUGUGUUGUCGGGCAGAUGAUCAAGAACUGAAUUAGUUUUCAGUUUGUUAGUUUGACAACUGUAACUAAAGUAGCUUACCAGUUAAUCAGGAAGAUUCAUGUGUAGCUAUUACCUAUUAUCAAUGUCUCUAUUUAUUUAAUUGUGUACA
Molecule: non-coding RNA, 1495 nt
Organism: Nicotiana tabacum (common tobacco)
Lineage: Eukaryota; Viridiplantae; Streptophyta; Magnoliopsida; Solanales; Solanaceae
Source: RefSeq, a predicted model, not a curated record